RNAcentral lists this long non-coding RNA (315 nucleotides) under Ananas comosus (pineapple). RNAcentral describes it as "long non-coding RNA (ACOM_LNC019925)". Lineage: Eukaryota; Viridiplantae; Streptophyta; Magnoliopsida; Poales; Bromeliaceae. The record is from RNAcentral.
CGAUAAGCUACCGCACCAAUUCGUUCCAAUAUUUCAUACGGUCCAAUAUACCGAGAACUUAACUUUCCCCGCACUCCAAAUCGCUUCACCCCUUGCAUCGGCGAAACUUUCAAGAACACGCGGUCACCCACCGCAAAUUCCAAAUCUCGACGGCGUUUAUCCGCAUAGCUUUUCUGUCUCGAUUGUGCCGUGAGCAAUCUCUUGCGAGCAAGGCGAACUUUCUCCUCCGCCUCCCGCAAGACAUCGGGGCCUACCACCGCACGCUCACCUACAUCACCCCAGUGUACAGGAGAUCGACACUUCUGCCCAUAAAGA